Molecule: transfer RNA, 73 nt
Filed under: Geochelone elegans (star tortoise)
Lineage: Eukaryota; Metazoa; Chordata; Testudines; Testudinidae
Description: tRNA-Leu
Source: RNAcentral
UUUUCCUAGUAGCUAUAAUAAUCCUAGUAACAGCCAACAACAUAUUCCAAUUUCUCAUUGGCUGAGAAGGAGU